CUGAACGGCAGGUUGUAGCGGUGGGCCAGUGACGUCACCUCAUUCUCGACCCCACGCGGAAUUUGGGGCGGUUUCAGGGCAUUUGGUUCCGAGCUGUCUUGAUAUUAUCCUGGUUCGAUUUCCUGGGUUUGUUUGUUCUUAGGCUGUUGUGAGAAAUGCGUGGGUCUCCGCUCCGGUACUCUCUGUUUUCGACGCUGACUUUCAGGUGGGACAACGUGUGUCUUGAGCAAGCUAGAAGUCGGUAAUGCAGUGGAUAUCUGAAAAUAAGCUGAAGCUCAAUCUAGACAAGAUGGAGGUAAGCUUCCCUGGAUGAAAUACUCAUGGUCCUGCCUGAGGAGCACAACCAUAUUUUGCUGCAAGAGCCUGCAACCAGUUUGUGGUGGUUCGUUUUGUAUCGUGAAAUAAACAGAUUAGUAUGUACUCGU
Hemicordylus capensis (graceful crag lizard) is the source of this 425-nucleotide long non-coding RNA. RefSeq lists it as uncharacterized. NCBI's taxonomy places the organism in Eukaryota, Metazoa, Chordata, Lepidosauria, Squamata, Cordylidae. The transcript is spliced from 3 exons. The record is from RefSeq and is a predicted model, not a curated record.